GGAAAAGAAACCAACCGGGAUUGCCUUAGUAACGGCGAGUGAAGCGGCAAAAGCUCAAAUUUGAAAUCUGGUACCUUCGGUGCCCGAGUUGUAAUUUGGAGAGGGCAACUUUGGGGCCGUUCCUUGUCUAUGUUCCUUGGAACAGGACGUCAUAGAGGGUGAGAAUCCCGUGUGGCGAGGAGUGCGGUUCUUUGUAAAGUGCCUUCGAAGAGUCGAGUUGUUUGGGAAUGCAGCUCUAAGUGGGUGGUAAAUUCCAUCUAAAGCUAAAUAUUGGCGAGAGACCGAUAGCGAACAAGUACAGUGAUGGAAAGAUGAAAAGAACUUUGAAAAGAGAGUGAAAAAGUACGUGAAAUUGUUGAAAGGGAAGGGCAUUUGAUCAGACAUGGUGUUUUGUGCCCUCUGCUCCUUGUGGGUAGGGGAAUCUCGCAUUUCACUGGGCCAGCAUCAGUUUUGGUGGCAGGAUAAAUCCAUAGGAAUGUAGCUUGCCUCGGUAAGUAUUAUAGCCUGUGGGUAAUACUGCCAGCUGUGGACUGAGCGAUCUGCGACGUAAGUCAAGGAUGCUGGCAUAAUGGUUAUAUGCCGCCCGUC
This 588-nucleotide ribosomal RNA is filed under the name Saccharomyces cerevisiae (brewer's yeast). RNAcentral describes it as "eukaryotic LSU rRNA". It matches the Rfam family "Eukaryotic large subunit ribosomal RNA", at positions 55 to 653 of the family's 3401-position model. Lineage: Eukaryota; Fungi; Ascomycota; Saccharomycetes; Saccharomycetales; Saccharomycetaceae. The record is from RNAcentral.